AACAAAAACAUGUCUUUUUGAAUUUAAAUUUAAAGUKUAAUCUGCCCACUGAUAAAUUAUUUAAUGGCCGCAGUAUUUUAACUGUGCAAAGGUAGCAUAAUCAUUAGUUUUUUAAUUGAAAACUUGUAUGAAUGAUUGGACGAGAUAUAAACUGUCUCAUAAAAAUUUUUUGUAGAAUUUAAUUUUUUAGUAAAAAAGCUAAAAUAAAUUUAAAAGACGAGAAGACCCUAUAGAUCUUUAUAUAAUUGAUUAUUAUUAUUUUUUAGUUUUUUUAUAUAUUAAUAAUUAAUAAUAUUUUAUUGGGGUGAUAUUGAAAUUUAAUAAACUUUCAAAAAUUUAAAUAACAUUAAUUUAUGAUUUAAUGAUCCUUUAUUAUUGAUUAAAAAUUUAAGUUACCUUAGGGAUAACAGCGUAAUUAUUUUGGAGAGUUCAUAUCGAUAAAAUAGAUUGCGACCUCGAUGUUGGAUUAAGAUUAAUUUUAGAUGUAGCAGUUUAAAGUAUUAAGUCUGUUCGACUUUUAAUUUCUUACGUGAUCUG
RNAcentral lists this ribosomal RNA (537 nucleotides) under Sympycnus turbidus. Its description in RNAcentral is "partial 16S ribosomal RNA". The stretch from base 403 to 537 matches the Rfam family "Bacterial large subunit ribosomal RNA", at positions 2473 to 2607 of the family's 2925-position model. Lineage: Eukaryota; Metazoa; Arthropoda; Insecta; Diptera; Dolichopodidae. The record is from RNAcentral.